Molecule: ribosomal RNA, 253 nt
Filed under: uncultured bacterium
Lineage: Bacteria
Description: partial 16S ribosomal RNA
Rfam family: Bacterial small subunit ribosomal RNA
Source: RNAcentral
UACGUAGGGGGCAAGCGUUGUCCGGAAUUAUUGGGCGUAAAGAGCUCGUAGGCGGUUUGUCGCGUCUGCCGUGAAAGUCCGGGGCUUAACUCCGGAUCUGCGGUGGGUACGGGCAGACUAGAGUGAUGUAGGGGAGACUGGAAUUCCUGGUGUAGCGGUGAAAUGCGCAGAUAUCAGGAGGAACACCGAUGGCGAAGGCAGGUCUCUGGGCAUUUACUGACGCUGAGGAGCGAAAGCAUGGGGAGCGAACAGG